Long non-coding RNA from Nanorana parkeri, 103 nucleotides. RefSeq lists it as uncharacterized. The transcript is spliced from 3 exons. Lineage: Eukaryota; Metazoa; Chordata; Amphibia; Anura; Dicroglossidae. The record is from RefSeq and is a predicted model, not a curated record.
AGAGGCCCCGGCCACCAAUGUUGCAGUUACUGAAGCUCCAGCACCAAAGAAAGUGACCCCUUCCACCAAGGCUGCAGUUACUAAAGCUCCAGCACCAAAGAAA